RNAcentral lists this ribosomal RNA (382 nucleotides) under Candidatus Taylorbacteria bacterium RIFCSPHIGHO2_02_FULL_43_55. Its description in RNAcentral is "bacterial LSU rRNA". It matches the Rfam family "Bacterial large subunit ribosomal RNA", at positions 1978 to 2359 of the family's 2925-position model. Lineage: Bacteria; Candidatus Tayloriibacteriota. The record is from RNAcentral.
AAGUUCCGACGCGCACGAAUAGUGUAAUGACUGGAGAACUGUCUCGGGGAAUAGCUCGGUGAAAAUACAAUACCGGUGAAGAUGCCGGUUACCUGCAGUUAGACGAAAAGACCCCAGAAGCUUUACUGCAACUUGGUAUUGAGGAUACGUUUUUAAUGCGUAGCGUAGGUGGGAGGAUUUGAAGUUUACCUUUCGGGGUAGAUGGAUCCGACAGUGAAAUACCACUCUUUAAAAAUGUGUUUUCUAACUUCGUCGGAAAAAACGGCGAAAGACAGUAUCUGGUGGGCAGUUUUAGUGGGGCGCUAUCCUCCUAAAAAGUAACGGAGGAGUUUAUUAAGGUCAGCUAGGCGCGAAUGGAAACCGUGCCGAUAGUGUAAUGGCA